ACACUCCUGCGGGAGGCAGCAGUGGGGAAUAUUGCACAAUGGGCGCAAGCCUGAUGCAGCCAUGCCGCGUGUAUGAAGAAGGCCUUCGGGUUGUAAAGUACUUUCAGCGGGGAGGAAGGCGAUAAGGUUAAUAACCUUGUCGAUUGACGUUACCCGCAGAAGAAGCACCGGCUAACUCCGUGCCAGCAGCCGCGGUAAUACGGAGGGUGCAAGCGUUAAUCGGAAUUACUGGGCGUAAAGCGCACGCAGGCGGUCUGUCAAGUCGGAUGUGAAAUCCCCGGGCUCAACCUGGGAACUGCAUUCGAAACUGGCAGGCUAGAGUCUUGUAGAGGGGGGUAGAAUUCCAGGUGUAGCGGUGAAAUGCGUAGAGAUCUGGAGGAAUACCGGUGGCGAAGGCGGCCCCCUGGACAAAGACUGACGCUCAGGUGCGAAAGCGUGGGGAGCAAACAGGAUUAGAUACCCGUGUAGUCCCAUGAU
RNAcentral lists this ribosomal RNA (477 nucleotides) under uncultured organism. RNAcentral describes it as "partial 16S ribosomal RNA". It matches the Rfam family "Bacterial small subunit ribosomal RNA", at positions 333 to 801 of the family's 1533-position model. The record is from RNAcentral.